Beta vulgaris subsp. vulgaris (sugar beet) is the source of this 1719-nucleotide long non-coding RNA. RefSeq lists it as uncharacterized. The record is from RefSeq and is a predicted model, not a curated record. The transcript has 2 exons. Lineage: Eukaryota; Viridiplantae; Streptophyta; Magnoliopsida; Caryophyllales; Amaranthaceae.
CUUAUUAAAAAUAUUUUUUCCUUUUUCUUUAGAUGGUACAGUGGCAAUACUGCCCGCAAGAGAAAUUGAGUCUCUGUCGGGUUUUGGAAAUCAAAACGCCAUCGAAGAUUCAUUCCACAAUGACACAAGAUUAUAGCUUCAGACUCCAUUCAAGAAUUUGAGUCUUUGCUUCAGACUACAACUUCAGACUUGCGAUAAAGAUUCAACAAAGGGAGAAGAGCAAGGGAGAGACAGCAGGAGAAUAAAACUGAAGUUUCACUCAAUUUCUAGAUAAGUUAACCAUUUCAAAUUCAUAUCCCUUGUGUUGUUGUUCUUCGUCUUACUUGUUGCAAAUUUCUCAUCAAAACCCUUGUUAUAUGUUGCUGCACUAGCAAAAACUUGUUUAAUUUCAUCACUAGCCCUCAAUUUAUGACUUCCCACAACAAAAAAUCUAAAGAUAACCCCUUUAUAUUGCAUAGGUACUAUUUAGAUGGAGAUAACAAAUCCAAGAAAUAUUUUGCUUUACACCCAGAUAAUGGAAUUUCUGAAUGUAAUUUGAUCUUUCAAGAAAUACCCUUUAAAUUUGGUUGUGCUAGUUACUGUUUCAAAAUUGUGGGUUCUUGUAAUGGGGUUGUUUGUUUGUCUAAUGACAUUAAUACAUACACCAAUGUCAUAUAUCUAUGGAACCCUAGUAUAAGAAAAGCAAUUGAAGUCCCUUUGUCCUAAUUUGACAUUCUUUGCGUGUGGCCUAUAUGACAUGUGUGUUGGAUUUGGGUUUGAUGAGCUGAAUAGUGACUACGAGGUGAUUCGUCUAGUUUACCUUGAUAAUGAUCGGGAGCCAAAUCAGCUUCCUCCGCUUGUUGAGAUAUGCACGGUUAGUUCUGGACUGUGUUGAAGCAUCAUUGCUUCUCGUCCUAUAUACUUUUUUUUUUUUUUUAAUUAGGAAAUUAAGUCAGCCCAAAGGCUAACCCCUACAAGGCUACUAGCCUGUAGGAAACACCAAUACAUUGGCUGGUAAGGCAUGCUAAGGAAAUACCCCAACAUAAUGAUGGGGGUAAGGAUCGAACCCCUGACCUCAGGAGCCAAGGGGGAGUGCUCUACCCACUUGAGCUAACUCCUAUCCUUAAUCUCGUCCUAUAUACUAUGUUCUCUAUGUUUUAGUUUAUCUGUUGAUCGAAACACUUAUUCGCAAUGUUAUUUGAAUGGGUAUGUGCAUUGGCCGGGAUCCGUUAUCCAACCUAAGGAAGAUGGGAGUUGUUUGGAGAAAGUUCGGAAAAUUAUUGUGACCUUCAAUGUACGAGAUGAGUUCUUUGGUGAAAAUGAAGUUGCCGGCUUGUUUUGAGGGCUCUAAUACUCAGUUGAGUAGAUUGAUGAUCACAACUUGCUGCGAUAUGCUUGCUCUAAUAGUAAUGUCAGAUGACGAUUGUGGGUUUGCCUUAUGGUUGAUGAAACAAUAUGGCAAUGAGGAUUCUUAGACUGAAUCUUUCAGGUGCUAGAAACCCUUGACGGGCCACCUAGAGGAUUAUAUUUGGGAUCAUACAACGAAGCUCUGGCACUAAACAAUGAAGGAAAAGCUAUUUUGGAUUAUGAGGUCAAAUAUGAUCCUAUCUGUCAUCAAUUGACAAUUCCUUCCUGCACAUCUCCUGAAGAUUUUGGAUUUUGUAAUUUAGAAUGAUUAGAUUGUGUGCUUGCUUGUGGCAAUGGAAGUUUACAACCAUCAAUUCUUUUGUGUUCUUGUGA